GACACGGAACUGGUGGGAUCGCACCAUGGCCUGGGCCCCUCUGCUCCUCGUGGUGCUCGCCCACAGCUCAGGUUCCCUGGUCCAGGCAGCGCUGACUCAGCCACCCUCGGUGUCAGUGAAGCCGGGAGAAACGAUCAAGAUCACCUGCUCUGGGAGUGGUAGCAGCUAUCCAUAUGUUGGCUGGAUCCAGCAGAAGGUGCCUGGUCGUGCCCCUGUCACUGUGAUCUAUGAUAACACCAACAGACCCUCGGACAUCCCUUCACGAUUCUCCGGAUCCAAGUCUGGCUCCACGGGCACGUUAACCAUCACUGGGGUCCAAGCCGAGGACAAGGCUGUCUAUUUCUGUGGUGGCUGGGACAGCAGUGGUGCUGGUGUCAUGGUGCAGAGAGAUGUUGAAGUGAGCUACAGAGAAGCUAAAAAUGGAGCUUUUCUGUCCUUCUUCCUCCUGGCUCGGCAGGGCUGGGGAGCCGGGCAGGUUCAUGUUCUCUCCUUAUGGUCACAGCUGUACCUAUAG
Non-coding RNA from Apus apus (common swift), 514 nucleotides. The record is from the annotation of a RefSeq genome assembly. Lineage: Eukaryota; Metazoa; Chordata; Aves; Apodiformes; Apodidae.